UCUAACCUACGGGGGGCAGCAGUAGGGAAUUUUCGUCAAUGGGCGCAAGCCUGAACGAGCAAUGCCGCGUGAACGAGGAAGGUCUUCGGAUCGUAAAGUUCUGUUGAAGGGGAAAAAGAGCGGAGAGAGGAAAUGAACUCCGAUUGAUAUUACCCUUCGAGGAAGUCACGGCUAACUACGUGCCAGCAGCCGCGGGAAUACGUAGGUGGCGAGCGUUAUCCGGAAUGAUUGGGCGUAAAGGGUGCGUAGGCGGCCUGCUAAGUCU
This 265-nucleotide ribosomal RNA is filed under the name uncultured bacterium. RNAcentral describes it as "partial 16S ribosomal RNA". It matches the Rfam family "Bacterial small subunit ribosomal RNA", at positions 331 to 590 of the family's 1533-position model. The record is from RNAcentral.